This 261-nucleotide ribosomal RNA is filed under the name uncultured archaeon. RNAcentral's name for it is "partial 16S ribosomal RNA". It matches the Rfam family "Archaeal small subunit ribosomal RNA", at positions 717 to 982 of the family's 1478-position model. The record is from RNAcentral.
AGUCACUGACAUUAGAUACCCGUGUAGUCCAGGGUGUAAACGCUGCAGACUUGGUGUGGGCCCUUUGGGGGCAUUCAGUGCCGGAGAGAAGUUGUUAAGUCUGCUACUUGGGAGUACGUCCGCAAGGAUGAAACUUAAAGGAAUUGGCGGGGGAGCACCGCAACGGGAGGAGCGUGCUGUUUAAUUGGAUUCAACACCGUAAAACUCACCAGGGAAGACUGUUACAUGAAAGCCGAGAUGAAGACUCUGCUAGAUUUUCAG